AAAUUUGAACGUUGAUUGUUGAAGAUUUAUCUUGGACAUUUAAAAGGUCAUACACAAAGAGUACAGUUAACUUUAUUACUGUUUGUAAACACUGAAAUUUCUGAUCUAUUACAAGGGAAAUAUUUAAAUGUUAAAAGUGUUCACAGUUGUGCAUUUGUGUUGAUUCUCCUUGCUAAUAUUUUGAGUGCUUACAUUUUAGAGGUCUGAUGGAAAUGGUAUCACUUAUAGCUUAAGUUGCCCAGUUUAAAGAAGUAAACAACAUUAAAGAGGCCAUGGAAAACCCACCUGAAAAGGAAGUUGAACCAGCUGCACCUCCACCUCCAGCUGAAGAAAUAAGUAACCCACCAGUGCAACAGCUCAGAGCAAGCUCACGUGAAAGAAGCUUAACAGAGAAAGGUCGAGAGGUGCAUGAGCUCGAAGCAAAGAAACAGGAAAAGUCCUUCCAUAGGACUUAUGAGUCCUGGAAGCAGGCUGCAAGAGAGGCUAGAUCAAAUUUGAAAACAUUCUGUACACGUGAAGACCUGGAUCAAAUACAGCAGGACAUUCAAGGCAGACAUGAUUCAGUCUAUCAUCGUUAUGAAGCAAUUCUGCGUAACCACACUACUACUCCAGACAUUGUUAAACGUAUGGAUGCCUGCGCUGCACUAACUGCAGAGAUCACUGAUCUUGUCAGUAAACGACUGGAAACAUUUAAUGAAAGUUACAACGAAGAACUUGUGAAGGAAAGAGUAAGGCAAGUGCUGAAUAAGGAUGAAUAUGGAUCCGUCUUUGGAUGUACAGUAACAAACACAGUCGUUUCAGAGUCAUCACUGGGAUCCGAUAACCAAUCCAAGACUUCUAAAGUCUCAAGUAAGCGUGCUGAUGCACAGGCAGAAUUUGCAGCGAAACUGGAACAAGCUAAAGCUUUACAAGAAAUUCACAAUCAACAAGCUAAGCUUGAUAAGAUGGAGCAUGACUGGAAGCUUUGUGAAUCGAGAAUGUUAGCGGAGAUAAAGCAGAAGGAGGCUGAAAUGCAGUUAAGGCUAGUUGAGGAAAAGAAACGGCUACAACAGUUACAAGUUGACAAAGAAGUUAAAGUAGCAGCAGCUCGUGUCAAAGUGUAUAACGAUUUGGAAGGCAACCUUCAUCGCUGUGAAGAUGACGAAGGCCCUAGCAUUCACACUGGCUGCCAAAGGACAGAGCUUACAUCUCAACUGAACCCGGAAGCACAGUCGUUCCUACCUCAGCAAGCAUCAUGUGAAGGAUUUGGAGUUACAUCACCUCAGGAAACUGCAAAUCUAGCUCAAGCAAUAGCAAACUCACUAAGCACACAUCGGCUGCCUGUUCCAGAACCCACUGUCUUUGUUGGUGACCCUUUAAAAUUCAUAGAUUGGAAGAUGUCAUUCAUGGCCCUCAUUGAUCGAAAACCUCUUCCUUCUGGUGAAAAAAUGUUCUAUCUGAAGAAUUACCUUGCUGGGGAAGCUCGCAAAGCGGUGGAGGGAUAUUUCUACAGAAAUUCUGAGGAUGCAUAUCAAGGUGCCUGGAAAGUGUUACAGGAAAGGUACGGGAACUCGUUCGUCAUCCAAAGAGCGUUUCGAGACAAGCUGAUGAGAUGGCCCAAAAUUGGAGCAAAUGACCCACUGGCAUUACGAGACUUCACAGAUUUCCUACAAGGUUGUGUCGAGGCAAUUCCUCACGUAAAAGGAUUAGCCAUCCUAAAUGAUUCUGAAGAAAACCACAAGCUGUUAAAGAAACUCCCGGAAUGGAUUGUGAGAAAGUGGAACCGAAUCGUGGUGGAAGAACUAGACACAUCAGGUGACUAUCCAAGUUUCAAAUGCUUCACAGAAUUUCUGCAAAAGGAAGCAAAAAUAGCUUGUAACCCUAUAACCUCUGCACUAUUUGUGAAUCAAAGGAACACAGAUGAAAGGUUCCCCAAGCGCGCUAAGGCUCUCAGUACAAAGGUUCAGGUGAAGGACUUAAGCUCAAAAAGACCAGAGACGUACAGCUCUAAGCCAAAGACAUUGUGCCUUUUCUGCAAAGAUGAAAAACAUCACAUUGCCCAAUGCUCUACAUUUGCUGGAAAGACUAUUGAAGAAAAGAAAGCCUUCAUUCACGAAACCCACCUCUGUUUCGGAUGUCUCAGAAAGGGACACAUGAGUAAAGACUGUAGAAGAAGACAUACAUGUGGUACGUGUGGUCGAAGUCAUCCUACCUGCUUACAUGAAGAAAGGGAUAAAGCUCCUUCAAAGGACCCUAAAGGAGCAUCUACGAAUGUUCAAGCAAGUGAGGAAGUUCAUAAAGUCAUGACACACGCACUCACUCAAUGUUCUCCUGCUACUUCCAGCAUUGUGCCAGUUUUCAUCUCUACAGUGGACGAACCCCAAAGAGAAGUACUAACUUAUGCUCUACUUGACACCCAGAGCGACUCAAGUUUCAUCUUGGAAGAUCUUCUUGAAAGUUUGAAUGUUGUCUCACAACCUGUGCAAUUGAGGCUCAGCACCAUGACAGCUGCUGACACGAUCACUGCCAGUAAGAGAGUCUGUGGACUUAAAGUAAGAGGACUACAAUCUGCAAGUUCUAUACCACUACAGCAAGCAUACACAAGAGACUUCAUUCCAGUGGACAAGUCGUAUAUUCCCACCAAGCACACAGCGCUUCAGUGGAGUCACCUCAGACACUUAGCAAGUCAGCUGUCACCACUUUUGAACUGUGAAGUCGGACUUUUAAUUGGAUUUGACUGCCCAUCUGCUCUAGCUCCCUUGGAAGCAAUUAUAGGUGGUGAAAAUGAGCCUUUCGCGCAAAGAACUGUGCUUGGGUGGAGUAUUAUAGGCCUGUCUAAUCCACACCUUGACCGACAAGGAAAUCAGAGUUUUGUCCACCGUGUUGCAGUAAAGGAAAUACCUGUCCCAUCGGCCAAUGAUAUCCUGAAAAUUCUUGAGUCCGAUUUCAAUGAAAAAGCUUAUGAGGAUAAAUGUGUGUCACAAGAGGAUGUUCGUUUCAUACAGCACCUCAGUGCCAAUAUUCAUCAGAAGGAUAAUGGACAUUACGAGUUUCCUCUCCCAUUUAAGUGCAGCAGCCGACCCUCACUACCCAACAACAAAGGGCUAGCAACUGCUCGACUACAACACCUAAAGAAACGGCUCAAGUCCAAUAAACAGUAUUAUGAUCACUACAAGGCUUUCAUGGAAGAGAUGAUUAUCAAAGGUGAUGCAGAACAAGCUCCAGCUAUACUAAGUGGAGAGACAGUGUGGUACAUCCCACACCAUGGGGUGUACCACCCUCAGAAACCAAACAAGCUGAGGGUGGUAUUCGAUUGUUCAGCAAAGUUUCGUGGUAUAUCAUUAAAUGACACACUUCUGACUGGGCCUGAUCUAACCAAUUCCUUGGUGGGAGUGCUGUGCCGUUUCAGAAAGGAGCCAGUUGCAGUUACCUGUGACAUAGAGAAGAUGUUUCACCAGUUUCUCGUCCCACCUGAUGAACGCAAUUACCUGAGAUUCUUAUGGUGGGAGGGUGGAGACUUGGAGAAAGAGCCUCAAGAAUAUCGCAUGGCAGUCCACCUCUUUGGUGCCACGUCUUCACCUGGGUGUGCUAAUUUCGGCCUAAAGUACCUGGCACAGCAGCACAAGGUUAACUAUCCUUCAGCCUCAGCAUUCAUUGAGAAGAACUUUUAUGUGGAUGAUGGGUUAACCAGUGUUCCCUCAACCAGUGAAGCCAAAGAACUAAUAAUGCAAGCUCAAAGAGUGUGUAAACAUGGAGGUUUACGGCUUCACAAAUUUAACUCAAAUAAGGAAGACGUUCUGAGUUGUUUAAACCCGUUAGAAAAGGCAACAACAUCAAUGCCUCUUGACUUUAAUCUUGAAGCAACACCAUACACACCUGUGAACCUGCUUGUCGGUGAUCCUGAAGUUAAAUUAGUCCAAACCUUUGUGACCUCCGUCAGAGACGGAGCAGACAUCCUCAGUCGCUUAAGUCGAUUCUCUUCUUGGUCUAUGCUUCUAAGGGUGGUUGCAAGAAUAAACAGAUUGGGCCACAAACAGAUGUACAACGGUGAUCAUGUGACAGUUGAAGAACGUGAGAGAGCUGCUAAGGUGGUCAUCAAGCUUGUACAGCAGCAAGCAUUCUCAAAGGAAAUGCAAAUAAUUGAAAGAGGAGAAGCUCUACCAAAUUCAAGCGCACUGUACCCUCUGGAUCCUAUUUUGGACAAUGGCAUCCUCCGUGUUGGUGGGAGGCUAAAACACUCAUCUCUCAGUCAAGAUCUAAAACAUCCUGUAAUACUUCCAAAAGGUAACCACAUCACUAAACUAAUUCUGUCGCAUUACCACAUCAAAGUUCGUCACCAGGGAAGAAGCCAAACUCAAAUGGAGUUAAGAAUGAAUGGAUUCUGGAUCAUUGGAGGCAGUAAGUCCGUCGCUAAGUUCAUACACAAGUGUGUGCAAUGUCGGAAACUCAGACGACCAGCUGAAGACCAGCGUAUGGCAGAACUUCCCAGAGAACGUGUUGAGGUUUCCGCUCCAUUCACGUACUGUGGUAUGGACUGUUUCGGGCCAUUUAUUGUGAAGAGAGCUCGUAAGGAGCUUAAGAGAUAUGGCCUAUUAUUCACUUGUCUAUCAUCUCGUGCAGUCCAUAUUGAAAUGAUUGAGGACCUAUCUACAGACUCCUUUAUCAAUGCCCUAAGGUGCUUUAUCAGCCUCAGAGGAGCAGUUCGCAAACUUCAGUGUGACCACGGCAUUAACUUUGUUGGAGCUAAAAAUGAAUUCGCAAAAUCACUGAAAGAGAUUGACACCAACGCCUUAGAGAUCUUUCUUACAGAAAGGCAAUGCGAGUUUGUCUUUAAUGCUCCUUCUGCAAGCCAUGCUGGAGGUGUCUGGGAGCGUCAGAUACGUACUGUGCGAAAUGUACUCAAUGCCACACUUGCUUUAUGCCCAGGCAGGCUUGAUGACGCAUCACUCAGAACGCUGUUCUAUGAAGCAAUGGCCAUUGUAAACAGCCGCCCUCUAACGGUAGAUGGGAUUAAUGAUCCAAAUUCACUCGAACCAUUGACCCCAAACCAUCUGAUAAUGAUGAAAUCUGAUGUUGCUCUUCCACCUCCAGGAAAGUUUGUAAAACAAGAUGUGUAUGCCACUAAAAGAUGGCGCAGAGUUCAAUACCUAAUCGAACAAUUUUGGGUCGUUGGAAGAAGGAAUACCUUCUCAACAUUGCAGCACAUCAGAAAUGGCAUAUUCCUUGGCGUAACCUUCAAGUGAAUGAUGUUGUAAUCAUCAAAGACGAUAUGCUUCCCAGAGGUCAGUGGCAAUUAGGCCGAGUGGUGGAAACCAGUGAAGGAAGUGAUGGUCUUGUAAGGCGAGUCAAGUUGCAGUUAGGGGAGCGAAGACAAAAUCAAUGCUCCAAGCCCACAGUCAUUGAAAGGCCCAUCCAAAAAUUGGUGGUACUUAUUGAAAAUGAGUAAUCAGCGACUGCUUUGUGAUAUCAUUGCAUCAGACCAUGUAAUUAAGUUUUAUAAAACCUAACAUUUUAGACUUCACAUGCAUAAAAACUGUGAAGGCGGUCAUAUUGAUGUGCAGAAAUCAUGUUCUGAUUCAUUCACAGUUUGUUCUGUUCUUUCAUCAUCUCAUAAUUGGUGGGAGUGUAAAUGACCGCAAAAAUAUGUAUGUGUGUGUCACUUUAAAUGUGUUGUGUGUGCGCACGCACGCUCUCUACGUAACGUAAGCUGUAACGCAGGUAGAAGAAAGAGGUGCGGACGAGGAGCACAUUGUGGUUCUCACAUGGCGUUUACAAAAGUUUGAUAUAUAUAUUGUAAAAGGUGGAUGCACUUUACGUUUUGGUUCAUCUAGUACCCUUUGGCAAGCGGAGCGAGCCUUCGUAACCCUUCUAAAUGGUGACCAGGCACAGGAUGCCAUCCAAACUCUGCACCAGACAUCAGUCCGAGGCCGUGACAUCACCGUCCAGCUUCAGCCCACGGACUCUCUCCUGUGUGUCACCAACCUGCCCUACACAGUCACUGCC
This is an RNA transcript of Carassius gibelio (silver crucian carp), 5982 nucleotides long. It is a transcript of the gene named ribonucleoprotein PTB-binding 2, with no coding region annotated. The record is from RefSeq and is a predicted model, not a curated record. The transcript is spliced from 2 exons. Lineage: Eukaryota; Metazoa; Chordata; Actinopteri; Cypriniformes; Cyprinidae.